Molecule: ribosomal RNA, 380 nt
Filed under: uncultured eukaryote
Lineage: Eukaryota
Description: partial 18S ribosomal RNA
Rfam family: Eukaryotic small subunit ribosomal RNA
Source: RNAcentral
CAAUAGCGUAUAUUAAAGUUGUUGCAGUUAAAAAGCUCGUAGUUGGAUUUGUGGCGUACGGUGUGUUCCGGGCACUUGUUGUCUGAGUAACCUGCUGUUGCCAUCCUUGGGUGGAACCUGUGUGGCAUUAGGUUGUCGUGCAGGGGAUGCCCAUCAUUUACUGUGAAAAAAUUAGAGUGUUCAAAGCAGGCUUAUGCCGUUGAAUAUAUUAGCAUGGAAUAAUGAGAUAGGACUUUUUUGCUAUUUUGUUGGUUUACGCAAAGAGGUAAUGAUUAAUAGGGACAGUUGGGGGUAUUCGUAUUCCAUUGUCAGAGGUGAAAUUCUUGGAUUUUUGAAAGACGAACUACUGCGAAAGCAUUUACCAGGGAUGUUUUCAUUAA